RNAcentral lists this ribosomal RNA (396 nucleotides) under Triticum aestivum (bread wheat). RNAcentral describes it as "partial small subunit ribosomal RNA". Lineage: Eukaryota; Viridiplantae; Streptophyta; Magnoliopsida; Poales; Poaceae. The record is from RNAcentral.
AAUGGUUCCGGUGCUGGGGUAGUAUUGGUCUCCCCCCGAGGAGAUAAGCUCAGAUACGUCCUCCAGAUUCACUUCGAUUCCUCCAACAAUGAAGCAGAAUAUGAAGCACUCUUGUACGGGUUGCGCAUGGCCAUUUCACUCGGCAUCCGGUGCCUCAUGGUCUACGGUGGCUCAGAUUUGGUGGUCAAUCAGGUGAUGAAGGAGUGGGACGUCAGAAGCCCAGCUAUGACUGGCUAUUGCAACGCAGUAAGAAAGCUAGAAAAGAAAUUCGAGGGGUUAGAGCUUCAUCACAUCCCCCGACUGAAAAAUCAAGCAGCAGAUGAUCUGGCAAAGAUAGGCUCCAAGAGAGAAGCCAUCCCCAGCAAUGUGUUUUUGGAGCACAUCCGCUCGCCGUCA